This 284-nucleotide long non-coding RNA is filed under the name Gallus gallus (chicken). The record is from RNAcentral. Lineage: Eukaryota; Metazoa; Chordata; Aves; Galliformes; Phasianidae.
GCGGACGCGCGUUUCUCCGGCACGUUUUACUCCCAGCCCUCCCCGUCGUUGCCGUCCUGCGGCCCCGCGGGGGCGGCGGAGGCGGCGAAGGGCGGCGGGCAGCGCGCGAACAGCCACUCGUCCUCCUUGCGCAGCCAACGCAGCAGCCGCGUCAGCGCAGCGAUGGCCGCCGCCUUCGGGAGCAGAGGGCUGAGGGACGCGUACAGCUCGAAGCGCGGCGUCACCCAUGCCAGCAGCGUCUCGCAGGCGGUGACGCGGUAGAGCAGCCGCAGGGGGCGCUGUGC